UGCGGAAGGAUCAUUACCGAGUGCGGGCCCCUCGGGGCCCAACCUCCCACCCGUGUUGCCCGAACCUAUGUUGCCUCGGCGGGCCCCGCGCCCGCCGACGGCCCCCCUGAACGCUGUCUGAAGUUGCAGUCUGAGACCUAUAACGAAAUUAGUUAAAACUUUCAACAACGGAUCUCUUGGUUCCGGCAUCGAUGAAGAACGCAGCGAAAUGCGAUAACUAAUGUGAAUUGCAGAAUUCAGUGAAUCAUCGAGUCUUUGAACGCACAUUGCGCCCUCUGGUAUUCCGGAGGGCAUGCCUGUCCGAGCGUCAUUGCUGCCCUCAAGCCCGGCUUGUGUGUUGGGCCCCGUCCCCCCCGCCGGGGGGACGGGCCCGAAAGGCAGCGGCGGCACCGCGUCCGGUCCUCGAGCGUAUGGGGCUUCGUCACCCGCUCUAGUAGGCCCGGCCGGCGCCAGCCGACCCCCAACCUUUAAUUAUCUCAGGUUGACCUCGGAUCAGGUAGGGAUACCCGCUGAACUUAAGCAUAUCAAUAAGCGGAGGAA
RNAcentral lists this ribosomal RNA (540 nucleotides) under Penicillium citrinum. Its description in RNAcentral is "eukaryotic LSU rRNA". The stretch from base 157 to 310 matches the Rfam family "5.8S ribosomal RNA". The record is from RNAcentral. Lineage: Eukaryota; Fungi; Ascomycota; Eurotiomycetes; Eurotiales; Aspergillaceae.